UUAUUUUUAUGGGCUCAUACUGGAUGUAUAGAGGUGUUGAUACGAGAGAUGUGCAAUUCGGCCCAAAGGCAUCCUGUUUUGGGGCCCAUUGUCAGCUGACCCCUCAUUCUGUUUACCAGGAAGUUACUUGACAGGGGAGGGGUGAUGCCAUUUUCAUUUGGCAGAGAUUCGGCCCAUUUACUACAAUGGGAAAUUUUAAAUGCUCAAUCCCCAGUCAUUUUAAGGUCUAUUUGCAUGAAACCUACCUCAGUUUUAGACCCCUUUUACAACUGCAAGCCUGCCAAGUUUUUUAAAAAUCGCCAAUCUAUGAUUUUUUAGAAUUAUUUAUAACAUGUUUUAAAACAAGACAAAUCACAAGAGAGGUUUAUGAGAACUGUAGUUGUUGUUUAUGUCCAUUCUCAGCAUGGACACCACCAGGCUUUUUAUUGGCUGAGAAACACACAGAGAGAAACUUCAAUUCCCAUCAUUCUCCGAGAGGAACCCGGAGACUAUUCAAUGCCCGUCCCAUGAAAGUGCUGUUGAGAAAGUGAGUUCCCAGCAGAGCCCUCUCUGGAGGAGGAGCCUAGGAAACUCCAAAAAGAAAUGGAUGCUGCUGCUGCUGCCGGGAAGGGGAGGGAGAAAAGAUGUGGCAGAUCCCUGCCUCAGGGAAUGAAGCUGAAGCACAACUGCAGGAGGAUGGCAUUGUGAAUAUUGCCACUGGAAGAAAAGGAGGUGCUUUCCCCAAGCAAUUAUAUACUGAUGGUAUGUCGCCUUAUUGUUGUUCCAUUUCUGAUAACAGGCUAAAUGGAUGUGAGGUUCAGAGGAAAGGUAUCAUGUUGAGAUGAAAGAGUCAGCCUGGGAGCUGCAAAAGCAUUUAAGUGCAAUUUGAAAAAUAAGAUUUAUUCCACAUGUUAGACCUCUUUUGCAGUUUCUAUUCUUCAUCCCUUCCAUGAUUCUCAUGCAAUUAGAUUCAAAAAAUUACAGAUUGGGUAUACUAAUUUUGCACUUUAGGGGGCUCAACGUAGGCAAACAGUCAUUAAAAGCCCAAACUCGCUGGGCUCAAAGAUUAAUUUGAAUGUGAAUGAAAUGUGUUUGCAUGAAUGUCUGUGAUUUCCAUUGAGAUAUUUCUUCAGAAGUAGUACAUAAUGAAUUAGACAUUAUUUUUCUCUAUACCCAUGUCAUUUUAUUGAAAUCCACAUAUUUGUUUAGUGAUUUCUCUGUGUAUCUUGCUAUUCCAUUCAAAAUUGCAUUCAAGGUAGAUAGCAGCAGUAAAACACAGAAAAGUAGAAAAUGAAAAUAAGGUAAUUAAAAACACAGCGAUAAUAGAGAAAUAAAAAACACUCCCCAAUUAAACAGCCUUUAGCACAUAUAUCAACCUUAAAGCCUGAAUCAUGGUAGAAUACAAACAUAUUUAAUUGAUGAUGAAUGGGUGAUAAAAAAAAACCCAGCUGAUCCAACUUUCCUUGAUGAAGAGUUCAAGAUCCAGACAGCAAUCACUAAGAAGCACACACACACUUUUUUUCUUGACAAAUGUGCUUCUGAUGGUCUCAGACAAAAAAAAAAAAAAGGAAAAAAGAGGAUACACAGCAACUGAUUCAAAAUGCAGGAAAAGAGAUUUCAUCUAAAU
RNAcentral lists this long non-coding RNA (1606 nucleotides) under Anolis carolinensis (green anole). Its description in RNAcentral is "lncRNA (ENSACAG00000039735.1)". Lineage: Eukaryota; Metazoa; Chordata; Lepidosauria; Squamata; Anolidae. The record is from RNAcentral.